This 460-nucleotide ribosomal RNA is filed under the name uncultured bacterium. RNAcentral's name for it is "partial 16S ribosomal RNA". It matches the Rfam family "Bacterial small subunit ribosomal RNA", at positions 338 to 795 of the family's 1533-position model. The record is from RNAcentral.
CCUACGGGAGGCAGCAGUGAGGAAUAUUGGUCAAUGGGCGCGAGCCUGAACCAGCCAAGUCGCGUGAGGGAUGAAGGUUCUAUGGAUCGUAAACCUCUUUUAUAAGGGAAUAAAGUGUGGGACGUGUCCUAUUUUGUAUGUACCUUAUGAAUAAGGAUCGGCUAACUCCGUGCCAGCAGCCGCGGUAAUACGGAGGAUCCGAGCGUUGUCCGGAUUUAUUGGGUUUAAAGGGUGCUGAGGUGGCCUUUUAAGUCAGCGGGGAAAGUCUGUGGCGCAACCAUAGAUUUGAUGUUGAAACUGGGGGGCUUGAGUAUGUUUGAGGCAGGCGGAAUGCGUGGUGUAGCGGUGAAAUGCUUAGAUAUCACGCAGAACCCCGAUUGCGAAGGCAGCCUGCCAAGCCAUGACUGACGCUGAUGCACGAAAGCGUGGGGAUCAAACAGGAUUAGAUACCCCAGUAGUC